RNAcentral lists this unclassified non-coding RNA (301 nucleotides) under Zea mays. Its description in RNAcentral is "misc RNA Zm00001eb048100". Lineage: Eukaryota; Viridiplantae; Streptophyta; Magnoliopsida; Poales; Poaceae. The record is from RNAcentral.
GGGGCCUACGCCGGACCUGGCAAGGGGUGUUGACGGCGCCAGCGAUGAGAGAAGCAUGAAGGGGAGGCACUGCUGGGUGACAACGCAGUCAAAGGCGCCCGGUCGGCGCGGCCAUCGGCGUAGUCCGAGGGCAGCCCGCCUCUGUCAGCGGAUCAGGGCGGCCAGUGUUGGGGAAGGGAGCAAGGCCACCUGGAGCGACUGCAUGCUGGCCAGCGGCGGCGGCAGCGCGCCGAACAGCGACCGGUUGGCGCGGACGCUGAGCUGCUGCAAGCGCGAGGACAAGAGGUUGGACGCUGGAGGC